RNAcentral lists this unclassified non-coding RNA (288 nucleotides) under Clavatospora longibrachiata. RNAcentral describes it as "partial internal transcribed spacer region". The stretch from base 1 to 46 matches the Rfam family "Eukaryotic small subunit ribosomal RNA", at positions 1786 to 1831 of the family's 1831-position model. Lineage: Eukaryota; Fungi; Ascomycota; Sordariomycetes; Microascales; Halosphaeriaceae. The record is from RNAcentral.
AAGUCGUAACAAGGUUUCCGUAGGUGAACCUGCGGAAGGAUCAUUACCGAGAUUUUUUUCUGCUUGCAGGAAAUCUCCCACCCUUUUGUGUAACGAAAUUUUGAUAUACUUUGGUAAAGCGCUUGUUGAGCAUACGUGCUAAGCAACCAGUGACUGACUUUUUUUUAUGUUAGUGGCUGUGUCUUUGCCAAAGGACCCCAAAUAUAACUCUAUUUUAUAUAAUUAUUUUGUCUGAGUUUAUAAUUUUUAAAAUAAACAAAACUUUCAACAACGGAUCUCUUGGUUCUG